UUGCUCAGAGUGGGGGGUAUCCGCGAGGACCCCGACGCCCUUCUAGGCGUGGUACCACUCUGGGCAUUU
This 69-nucleotide small RNA is filed under the name Desulfobulbus propionicus DSM 2032. Lineage: Bacteria; Pseudomonadati; Thermodesulfobacteriota; Desulfobulbia; Desulfobulbales; Desulfobulbaceae. The record is from RNAcentral.